RNAcentral lists this ribosomal RNA (443 nucleotides) under uncultured bacterium. RNAcentral describes it as "partial 23S ribosomal RNA". The stretch from base 1 to 235 matches the Rfam family "Archaeal large subunit ribosomal RNA", at positions 320 to 548 of the family's 2987-position model. The record is from RNAcentral.
ACGGGUUCCAAUCCGUCUGGAAGGGCGGAGGCACGGAGGGCGAUUCCCCGUACGUGCUCGGUCCGUCCCCCGACGAGCGAACGCAUCGGAGAGUCGGGCCGCUUGAGAGUGCAGCCCGAAUGGGGUGAUAGGUCUCAUCCAAGGCUAAGUACGUGGGAGACGCCGAUAGCGAACAAGUACGGCGACGGAAAGGUGAAAAGAACCUCGAAAGGGGGGUCAAAAGCGCUCGAAAUCGUAGAGGGGGAAGCGGACCUGACCGACGAGACCUCGUCGUCGCUCGCGCUCGACCCACGCUUCGUCGCGGAGUUCCGGAGGGCUCGCCCCCCGGAGCCGCGGCGCGGCGGGGGUCGGGAGGCGCUCGGCGGCGGGGCCGCUUGCGCGGGACCGGCGUCGCGCCGAACGAGAGGUCGCCUCGGCUCGCCCGAAAGGACGCGCCGGGGGGC